CCUACGGGUGGCAGCAGUGGGGAAUAUUGGACAAUGGGCGAAAGCCUGAUCCAGCCAUGCCGCGUGUGUGAAGAAGGCCUUCGGGUUGUAAAGCACUUUCAGUGGGGAAGAAAGCCUUGGGGCUAAUACCUUCGAGGAAGGACAUCACCCACAGAAGAAGCACCGGCUAACUCCGUGCCAGCAGCCGCGGUAAUACGGAGGGUGCGAGCGUUAAUCGGAAUUACUGGGCGUAAAGCGCGCGUAGGCGGUCUGAUAAGCCGGUUGUGAAAGCCCCGGGCUCAACCUGGGAACGGCAUCCGGAACUGGCAGGCUAGAGUGCAGGAGAGGAAGGUAGAAUUCCCGGUGUAGCGGUGAAAUGCGUAGAGAUCGGGAGGAAUACCAGUGGCGAAGGCGGCCUUCUGGACUGACACUGACGCUGAGGUGCGAAAGCGUGGGUAGCAAACAGGAUUAGAUACCCCGGUAGUC
RNAcentral lists this ribosomal RNA (465 nucleotides) under Vreelandella stevensii. Its description in RNAcentral is "partial 16S ribosomal RNA". It matches the Rfam family "Bacterial small subunit ribosomal RNA", at positions 338 to 795 of the family's 1533-position model. Lineage: Bacteria; Pseudomonadati; Pseudomonadota; Gammaproteobacteria; Oceanospirillales; Halomonadaceae. The record is from RNAcentral.